RNAcentral lists this ribosomal RNA (497 nucleotides) under uncultured bacterium. RNAcentral describes it as "partial 16S ribosomal RNA". It matches the Rfam family "Bacterial small subunit ribosomal RNA", at positions 28 to 507 of the family's 1533-position model. The record is from RNAcentral.
GAUGAACGCUGGCGGCGUGCCUAAUACAUGCAAGUCGAGCGAACAGACGAGGAGCUUGCUCCUCUGACGUUAGCGGCGGACGGGUGAGUAACACGUGGAUAACCUACCUAUAAGCCUGGGAUAACUUCGGGAAACCGUAGCUAAUACCGCAUAAUAUAUUGAAUCGCAUGGUUCAAUAUUGAAAGACGCAAUUGCAUUCAUUUCUAGAUGGACCCGCGCCGCAUUACCUAUUUGGUAAGGUAACGGCUUACAAAGGCAACGAUGAGUAGCGGACCUGAGAGGGUGAUCGGCCACACUGGAACUGAGACACGGUCCAGACUCCUACGGGAGGAGGCAGUAGGGAAUCUUCCGCAAUGAGCGAAGGCCUAACGGGGCAACGCCGCGUGGGUAAUAAGGUUCUUCGGAUCGUAAGACUCUGUUAUUAGGGAGGAACAAAUGUGUAAGUAACUGUGCACAUCUUGACGGUACCUGAUCAGAAAGCCACGGCUAACUACGUG